AGAGUUUGAUCAUGGCUCAGGAUGAACGCUAGCUACAGGCUUAACACAUGCAAGUCGAGGGGCAGCAUGUUGGUUGCUUGCAACCAACGAUGGCGACCGGCGCACGGGUGAGUAACGCGUAUCCAACCUACCCUUGUCCAUCGGAUAACCCGUCGAAAGGCGGCCUAACACGAUAUGCGGUUCACAGCAGGCAUCUAACGUGAACGAAAUGUAAAGGAGAAGGGAUGGGGAUGCGUCUGAUUAGCUUGUUGGCGGGGUAACGGCCACCAAGGCUACGAUCAGUAGGGGUUCUGAGAGGAAGGUCCCCCANAUUGGAACUGAGACACGGUCAAACUCCUACGGGAGGCA
This 348-nucleotide ribosomal RNA is filed under the name uncultured bacterium. RNAcentral describes it as "bacterial SSU rRNA". It matches the Rfam family "Bacterial small subunit ribosomal RNA", at positions 8 to 350 of the family's 1533-position model. The record is from RNAcentral.